RNAcentral lists this ribosomal RNA (480 nucleotides) under Paenibacillus sp. BAB1466. Its description in RNAcentral is "bacterial SSU rRNA". It matches the Rfam family "Bacterial small subunit ribosomal RNA", at positions 51 to 512 of the family's 1533-position model. Lineage: Bacteria; Bacillati; Bacillota; Bacilli; Caryophanales; Paenibacillaceae. The record is from RNAcentral.
AUACAUGCAAGUCGAGCGGAUUGAUGGAGUGCUUGCACUCUGAUGGUUAGCGGCGGACGGGUGAGUAACACGUAGGCAACCUGCCCUCAAGACUGGGAUAACUACCGGAAACGGUAGCUAAUACCGGAUAAUUUAUUUUGCAGCAUUGUGAAAUAAUGAAAGGCGGAGCAAUCUGUCACUUGAGGAUGGGCCUGCGGCGCAUUAGCUAGUUGGUGGGGUAACGGCCCACCAAGGCGACGAUGCGUAGCCGACCUGAGAGGGUGAACGGCCACACUGGGACUGAGACACGGCCCAGACUCCUACGGGAGGCAGCAGUAGGGAAUCUUCCGCAAUGGGCGAAAGCCUGACGGAGCAACGCCGCGUGAGUGAUGAAGGUUUUCGGAUCGUAAAGCUCUGUUGCCAAGGAAGAACGUCUUCUAGAGUAACUGCUAGGAGAGUGACGGUACUUGAGAAGAAAGCCCCGGCUAACUACGUGCCAGC